Molecule: ribosomal RNA, 484 nt
Filed under: uncultured bacterium
Lineage: Bacteria
Description: partial 16S ribosomal RNA
Rfam family: Bacterial small subunit ribosomal RNA
Source: RNAcentral
AUUGAACGCUGGCGGCAGGCCUAACACAUGCAAGUCGAGCGGAUGAAGGGAGCUUGCGCCUGGAUUCAGCGGCGGACGGGGGAGUAAUGCCCAUGAAUCUGCCGGGUAUGGGGGUAUAACGUCUUGAAACGGGCGCUGAUACCGCAGACGUCCUGAGCGAGAAAGUGGGGGAUCGUCGGACCGCAUGCGAUGAUGGGGGCCUAGGUCGGAUUAGUUAGUUGGUGGGGUAAAGGCCUUCCAAGGGGAGGAUCGGUAGAUGGUCGGAGAGGCAGAUUGGUCACACUGGAACUGAGACACGCUCCUGACGCCUGCGGGACGCAGCAGUGGGGAAUAUUGGACAAUGGGCGAAAGCAUGGUCCAGCCAUGCCGAGUGUGUGAAGAAGGUCUUCGGAUUGUAAAGCCCUUUAAGUUGGGAGGAAGGGCAGUAAGUUAAUACCUUGCUGUUUUGACGUUACCAACAGAAUAAGCACCGGCUAACUUCGUG